AGCUAAUAGAUACCCCGGUAGUCCACGCCCUAAACGAUGUCAACUAGGUGUUGGAGGAGCAAUCCUUUGGUACCGCAGCUAAACGCGUGAAGUUGACCGCCUGGGGAGUACGGUCGCAAGAUUAAAACUACAAAGGAAUUGACGGGGACCCGGCACAAGCGGUGGAUGAUGUGGAUUAAAUUCGAUGCAACGCGAACAACCUUACCUACCCUUGACAUGUCUGGAAUCCUGCUGAAAGGCGGGAGUGCCCGAAAGGGAACCGGAACACAGGUGCUGCAUGGCUGUCGUCAGCUCGUGUCGUGAGAUGUUGGGUUAAGUCCCGCAACGAGCGCAACCCUUGUCCUUAGUUGCUACGCAAGGGCACUCUAAGGAGACUGCCGGUGACAACCGGAGGAAGGUGGGGAUGACGUCAAGUCCUCAUGGCCCUUAUGGGUAGGGCUUCACACGUCAUACAAUGGUCGGUACAGAGGGUUGCCAACCCGCGAGGGGGAGCCAAUCCCAGAAAGCCGAUCGUAGUCCGGGAUCGCAGUCUGCAACUCGACUGCGU
This 547-nucleotide ribosomal RNA is filed under the name uncultured bacterium. RNAcentral describes it as "bacterial SSU rRNA". It matches the Rfam family "Bacterial small subunit ribosomal RNA", at positions 774 to 1321 of the family's 1533-position model. The record is from RNAcentral.